Unclassified non-coding RNA from Macaca fascicularis (crab-eating macaque), 148 nucleotides. It matches the Rfam family "Metazoan signal recognition particle RNA". From Rfam's summary of the family: The signal recognition particle (SRP) is a universally conserved ribonucleoprotein. It is involved in the co-translational targeting of proteins to membranes. Lineage: Eukaryota; Metazoa; Chordata; Mammalia; Primates; Cercopithecidae. The record is from Ensembl.
GCCAGGUGUGGUGGCGCACCCCUGUAGUCCCAGCUACUCGGGAGGCUGAGGUGGGAGGUUGACUUGAGCCCGGGAGACAGAGGUUGCAGUGAGCUGAGAUCAUGCCAUUGCACUCCAGCCUGGGUGACAGAGCCAGAUCCUACCUCUA